GCGUGUGGAUGGUGUUCAGCACCAUGGAAAGGUGCGUUCACCUGUGUGUGGAUGGUGUUCAGCACCGGGGACAGGUGUGCUUACCU
Molecule: microRNA precursor, 86 nt
Filed under: Branchiostoma floridae (Florida lancelet)
Lineage: Eukaryota; Metazoa; Chordata; Leptocardii; Amphioxiformes; Branchiostomatidae
Description: mir-2060 microRNA precursor family
Rfam family: mir-2060 microRNA precursor family
Source: Rfam by way of RNAcentral